Molecule: ribosomal RNA, 738 nt
Filed under: uncultured bacterium
Lineage: Bacteria
Description: bacterial SSU rRNA
Rfam family: Bacterial small subunit ribosomal RNA
Source: RNAcentral
AGUCGAGCGAUGAAGUUCCUUCGGGAACGGAUUAGCGGCGGACGGGUGAGUAACACGUGGGUAACCUGCCUUAUAGAGGGGAAUAGCCUUCCGAAAGGAAGAUUAAUACCGCAUAAAGUUGUUGAUUCGCAUGGAUCGAUAACCAAAGGAGCAAUCCGCUAUAAGAUGGACCCGCGGCGCAUUAGCUAGUUGGUGAGGUAAUGGCUCACCAAGGCGACGAUGCGUAGCCGACCUGAGAGGGUGAUCGGCCACAUUGGGACUGAGACACGGCCCAGACUCCUACGGGAGGCAGCAGUGGGGAAUAUUGCACAAUGGGGGAAACCCUGAUGCAGCAACGCCGCGUGAGUGAUGAAGGCCUUCGGGUUGUAAAGCUCUGUCUUUGGGGACGAUAGUGACGGUACCCAAGGAGGAAGCCACGGCUAACUACGUGCCAGCAGCCGCGGUAAUACGUAGGUGGCAAGCGUUGUCCGGAUUUACUGGGCGUAAAGGGAGCGUAGGCGGAUUUUUAAGUGGGAUGUGAAAUACCCGGGCUCAACUUGGGUGCUGCAUUCCAAACUGGAAGUCUAGAGUGCAGGAGAGGAAAGUGGAAUUCCUAGUGUAGCGGUGAAAUGCGUAGAGAUUAGGAAGAACACCAGUGGCGAAGGCGACUUUCUGGACUGUAACUGACGCUGAGCUCGAAAGCGUGGGGAGCAAACAGGAUAGAUACCCUGGUAGUCCACGCCGUAAACGAUGGAUACU